UGCGGGGAUGAGAAAAUGGUUAUCUCGUCAGGCUCAUAAUCUGAAAGUUGUAGGUUCGAAUCCUACCCCCGCUC
This 74-nucleotide transfer RNA is filed under the name Chlorella vulgaris. Its description in RNAcentral is "tRNA-Met". It matches the Rfam family "tRNA". Rfam says of the family: Transfer RNA (tRNA) molecules are approximately 80 nucleotides in length. Lineage: Eukaryota; Viridiplantae; Chlorophyta; Trebouxiophyceae; Chlorellales; Chlorellaceae. The record is from RNAcentral.